UACGGAGGGUGCAAGCGUUGUCCGGAUUUAUUGGGUUUAAAGGGUGCGUAGGCGGGCUAAUAAGUCAGUGGUGAAAGACUCACGCUUAACGUGAGCAGUGCCAUUGAUACUGUUAGUCUUGAAUCAAGUGGAGGUUGUUGGAACGGAUGGUGUAGCGGUGAAAUGCAUAGAUAUCAUCCAGAACACCGAUUGCGAAGGCAGAUGACUGUACUUGUAUUGACGCUGAGGCACGAAAGCAUGGGUAGCAAACAGG
This 253-nucleotide ribosomal RNA is filed under the name uncultured Bacteroidota bacterium. RNAcentral describes it as "uncultured Bacteroidetes bacterium partial 16S ribosomal RNA". It matches the Rfam family "Bacterial small subunit ribosomal RNA", at positions 524 to 776 of the family's 1533-position model. The record is from RNAcentral. Lineage: Bacteria; Pseudomonadati; Bacteroidota.